UACGAAGGGGCUAGCGUUGUUCGGAAUUACUGGGCGUAAAGCGCACGUAGGCGGAUUGUUAAGUUAGGGGUGAAAUCCCAGGGCUCAACCCUGGAACUGCCUUUAAUACUGGCAAUCUCGAGUCCGAGAGAGGUGAGUGGAAUUCCGAGUGUAGAGGGUGAAAAUUCGUAGAUAUUCGGAGGAACACCAGUGGCGAAGGCGGCUCACUGGCUCGGUACUGACGCUGAGGUGCGAAAAGCGUGGGUAGCAAACGGGGG
RNAcentral lists this ribosomal RNA (257 nucleotides) under uncultured bacterium. RNAcentral's name for it is "partial 16S ribosomal RNA". It matches the Rfam family "Bacterial small subunit ribosomal RNA", at positions 524 to 778 of the family's 1533-position model. The record is from RNAcentral.